This 65-nucleotide transfer RNA is filed under the name uncultured Ruminococcus sp. It matches the Rfam family "tRNA", at positions 5 to 66 of the family's 71-position model. Rfam says of the family: Transfer RNA (tRNA) molecules are approximately 80 nucleotides in length. Their secondary structure includes four short double-helical elements and three loops (D, anti-codon, and T loops). Lineage: Bacteria; Bacillati; Bacillota; Clostridia; Eubacteriales; Oscillospiraceae. The record is from RNAcentral.
GUGUCGCCAAGUGGUAAGGCAGCGGACUCUGACUCCGUUAUUUCGAGGGUUCAAAUCCUUCCACC